RNAcentral lists this small nuclear RNA (104 nucleotides) under Nannospalax galili (Upper Galilee mountains blind mole rat). The record is from RNAcentral. Lineage: Eukaryota; Metazoa; Chordata; Mammalia; Rodentia; Spalacidae.
GUGUUCACUUGGGCAGCACAUAUACUAAAAUUGGAAUGAUACAGAGAUUAGCAUGGCUCCUGUGCGAAGAUGACACACAAAUUUGUGAAGUAUUCCAUAUUUUA